CCGAAAUAACGAAACUGGCAUUCACAGUGAUCUGCUGACAUAUUUUACGAUUUCUGAGAUCAUUGUGAAAGCUGAUUUCGUCCC
Molecule: microRNA precursor, 84 nt
Filed under: Diaphorina citri (Asian citrus psyllid)
Lineage: Eukaryota; Metazoa; Arthropoda; Insecta; Hemiptera; Psyllidae
Description: bantam microRNA precursor family
Rfam family: bantam microRNA precursor family
Source: Rfam by way of RNAcentral